UACGGAGGGGGUUAGCGUUGUUCGGAAUUACUGGGCGUAAAGCGCGCGUAGGCGGACUAGUCAGUCAGGGGUGAAAUCCCGGGGCUCAACCCCGGAACUGCCUUUGAUACUGCUAGUCUUGAGUUCGAGAGAGGUGAGUGGAAUUCCGAGUGUAGAGGUGAAAUUCGUAGAUAUUCGGAAGAACACCAGUGGCGAAAGGCUGGCUCACUGGCUCGAUACUGACGCUGAGGUGCGAAAAGUGUGGGGGAGCAAAACAGGAUUAGAUACCCCCCGUAGUCC
Molecule: ribosomal RNA, 279 nt
Filed under: uncultured bacterium
Lineage: Bacteria
Description: partial 16S ribosomal RNA
Rfam family: Bacterial small subunit ribosomal RNA
Source: RNAcentral